RNAcentral lists this long non-coding RNA (6603 nucleotides) under Xyrichtys novacula (pearly razorfish). Lineage: Eukaryota; Metazoa; Chordata; Actinopteri; Labriformes; Labridae. The record is from RNAcentral.
GGAGAAAAAAGUCCAUUUUUUCUUGUCCCUUAAGGUGAAAAUACAUAUUGUUGAGAUUCACGCCUAUACGCUUUGUCAUAUUGACACAAAAUUUGACAAUCACGUGCCUUGCCUGGUAUCAUUUUUUUCAGCACAACCUCACCUGUGCGAAUUUACAGUUAUUUUAUCAUGUUGACAUACUGAAUUUACACAAUGGACCCAAAUUCACACACAAAACAUAAAAUCCGAGUGGAAAAAAGUAACAUUUUUACUGUGAAAACCACAAAUAUGUGUGAUGAACUGUUUUUAAAACUUAAACUUCAAAUAAAAAUUGUAAACUUCAAAACAUAUGCAAAUUUUUAACAAAGAACAUAGUGAUUUACCUCUAUUUACAUCAAAAUGCAGGCAAUGGCCCAGGCGUUCUUUGUAAAAUUAUUUACAAAACACUGUAUAGUCUCACAAAUGUCACUUUUUAUUUAUGCCACUACAAAAAAACAUGAUGUAAAUGAUGCAUGAUGUAAAACAUGAUGUAAAAAACUUGUGUAGAUCCUCCUCUAUGUCAGUCCAUGUGUAAUUUUUCCAUAAUUCUUUGUUUUUUGCAGCAUUUUUGUUAGUGUAACUGCAGAUUGUGCUGACAGUGUCUAUGGCACAAAAAAAAAAAAAAUUAAAAUGCCUCAACAUGAACCCCUGGUGAUCUCUGAGGGUGAAACCUGCUAACUGCUGCAGCUCUGUCAGCUUCAGUCUCCCAUGCAGAGCUCGGAGCGCAUGUGUGGCUCUGCACCCUUAGCAGCGUUGCUAACUCCUCAGUAAGGAAAGCCUGCUUCAUGUCAGAGUCUCUAAACUCCAGAAGAAGUCGAUAAAAGUCACUUUCUUUCUAAAAAAAAGUCGUUAGGGGGUCUGAAAAGUCAUUGAAUCUAACAACAAAGUCGCUAGGUUUGCAACUACGUGUCCCAGACUGCAUCCCUGCUGAGAGUCCCUCCCUCCCUUCUCAUAUUGCAGGAAGAACGUAAGUUCCCGCCCCUUGUCAAUCAGUCACCAUAUAAUUUUGGAUUGGUUGUUGUGGUGAAGUUUUCCACCAAUAGGAGAGAUGUUGUGGUGUGUAUUUUUUUUCCUUUGGCAAGCCUUUUCCGCCUGUAAGACCUGUCGCUAAUGUCUGCAUGCUAUGUUUUCCUGUCUCAUACAGCGCGAUCGAGCGCCGAACGUGAUCAAAAUAAGCAGAAAACAAGUAUCGCGGACAUAAUUUAUCAUAACUCUGGUUUUAUUUGGCCUAUCAACACAAUUUAAAAACUGGUAUAUAGGUUGAGGUCCUCACUUUUGAGAUAAAUUGAAACGGAGAGUCAACGAGGCUCCGUCUUGCAUCUACAUCCGGUUAAAUAUGUCAUGUGACUUGAACGCACACACACACACACACACAGACACACACACACGCACACACACACACUCAGAGUCUGGUUUGUAGCACCUGCAAAAACAUGCUAUUUACAUAUUUGACAAGAAUGCAGAGGCUCCUUUUGCCCCUGAAAAAAAUCAAAUUUCAAACACAACUUGACUGGUCAUUUCUCCAAAAGACAACCAUGAAGCUCCAUCCAAACCUGAAGCAGGCAGUUGGUGCAUGUGUACAGUAACCUGAGGGGAGUGAGGUGACUGCUUCUGAGGAGAACAUGAGCAGUGAAGAUUCACCUUAGAGCUAGAACAGAGACGUGCACAUGAUUAUACAGGGGCAGGGGCUCAAGUUUUUUCCAGUUGUUUAUACAAUAUGGAAAUUAAUGUGAAAUUAAAAAACAAAGUAUUAAUAGAAAGGUAAUGACUGUCCUGAGUAGGUGACAGUGAUAUCCAAUAGGCUAGGCACUCAAGAGGCUGGCUGUGGCAAGUGUAAGUGAAAGCAACACGCACUGGCAGGAAGAACAGCAAACGCCGAUGAAGGAAAAGGGUCUUUGCAGUGAUGGGCGUUACCAGAGAGGGCGAUGGCCAGAGGACACAAAUGGGACGGGGAGGCAGCGCGUUGGGGGGGGGGACGCGACACAGCUCGGGCCCGCCAGUGCCCCAACGGGGUCCUAGUUAGGGCCCGAGCCAGCUGCAGAGCAGCCGGGCGUAGGCCCUAUUAUUCCCCAAGUGGUUUUUCUUUGUUUCUUUCUUUCUUUCUUUCUUUCUUCUUUUUCCUCCCCUUUGAACUGGAAAAUGGCCCACUUCCCACUGGCGAAAACUCAUGAAAUUUGGCAGGACGACCGGGCCUGGUGAAAAAUUCGAUAUUCUGAAGUCGCCCAAACAAUAAAAUGCAAAAUGGCUCCAUAGCGCCCCCUAAGGUGGAAAUUCACACUAUUGACUGUCACGCCUGUACGCUUUGUCAUAUUGACACAAAAAUUGACACACAUAUGUAUCUCAAUAAGAUCUACAAAAAAGUCAGUGCGGCCGUAUCUGUCAAAAUUACGGUUAAAGGGUUAUUUCGCAUUUUUUGCCGAUCCGCACACAUUGGAAUUUCGCUAACUCCUCCGAAGGCUUUCGUUCCACCGGCACCACAUUUGCUCAGGCCAAUCUACACCCCGUGGCCAUUAAAAGUUAUCAAAAUCAUGACGCUGCACCCCAAGGUUUAGGUUCUAGGGGGCGCCAAAGAUAACACUAAAAUCCACAUAUUUAAAAGUCUUAUAACUUUUUAUUUUUGUCCUCACUGGCCUCCAAGUUUUCUAGGAUGAUGCAAUGUCCAGCCAUCAACACAUUUGUGAAGGAAUUUUUACUCCCCAAAAGAGCGCCCCCCCAUGGCAGGAGAAAAAAGUCCAUUUUUUCUUGUCCCCUAAGGUGAAAAUACACAUUGUUGAGUGUCACGCCUAUACGCUUUGUCAAAAUGACACAAAAAUUGACACACACAUGUAACUCAAUAAGAUCUACGAAAAAGUCAAUGCGUGCGUAUCUGUCAAAUGUACGGUUAAAGGGUUAUUUCGCAUUUUUUGCCGAUCCGCACACAUUGGAAUUUCGCUAACUCCUCCGAAGGCUUUCGUUCCACCGGCACCACAUUUGCUCAGGCCAAUCUACACCCCGUGGCCAUUAAAAGUUAUCAAAAUCAUGACGCUGCACCCCAAGGUUUAGGUUCUAGGGGGCGCCAAAGAUAACCCUAAAAUCCACAUAUUUAAAAGUCUUAUAACUUUUUAUUUUUGUCCUCACUGGCCUCCAAGUUUUCUAGGAUGAUGCAAUGUCCAGCCAUCAACACAUUUGUGAAGGAAUUUUUACUCCCCAAAAGAGCGCCCCCCCAUGGCAGGAGAAAAAGUCCAUUUUUUCUUGUCCCCUAAGGUGAAAAUUCACAUUGUUGAGUGUCACGCCUAUACGCUUUGUCAAAAUGACACAAAAAUUGACACACACAUGUAACUCAAUAAGAUCUACGAAAAAGUCAAUGCGCGCGUAUCUGUCAAAUGUAUGGUUAAAGGGUUAUUUCGCAUUUUUUGCCGAUCCGCACACAUUGGAAUGUGGCUAACUCCUCCUAAGGCUUUCGUUCCACCGGCACCACAUUUGCUCAGGCCAAUCUACACCCCAUGGCCAUUAAAAGUUAUUCAAAUCAUGACGCUGCACCCCACGGUUUAGGUUCUAGGGGGCGCCAAAGAUAACCCUAAAAUCCACAUAUUUAAAAGUCUUAUAACUUUUUAUUUUUGUCCUCACUGGCCUCCAAGUUUUCUAGGAUGAUGCAAUGUCCAGCCAUCAACACAUUUGUGAAGGAAUUUUUACUCCCCAAAAGAGCGCCCCCCGAUGGCAGGAGAAAAAAGUCCAUUUUUUCUUGUCCCCUAAGGUGAAAAUACAUAUUGUUGAGAUUCACGCCUAUACGCUUUGUCAUAUUGACACAAAAUUUGACAAUCACGUGCCUUGCCUGGUAUCAUUUUUUUCAGCACAACCUCACCUGUGCGAAUUUACAGUUAUUUUAUCAUGUUGACAUACUGAAUUUACACAAUGGACCCAAAUUCACACACAAAACAUAAAAUCCGAGUGGAAAAAAGUAACAUUUUUACUGUGAAAACCACAAAUAUGUGUGAUGAACUGUUUUUAAAACUUAAACUUCAAAUAAAAAUUGUAAACUUCAAAACAUAUGCAAAUUUUUAACAAAGAACAUAGUGAUUUACCUCUAUUUACAUCAAAAUGCAGGCAAUGGCCCAGGCGUUCUUUGUAAAAUUAUUUACAAAACACUGUAUAGUCUCACAAAUGUCACUUUUUAUUUAUGCCACUACAAAAAAACAUGAUGUAAAUGAUGCAUGAUGUAAAACAUGAUGUAAAAAACUUGUGUAGAUCCUCCUCUAUGUCAGUCCAUGUGUAAUUUUUCCAUAAUUCUUUGUUUUUUGCAGCAUUUUUGUUAGUGUAACUGCAGAUUGUGCUGACAGUGUCUAUGGCACAAAAAAAAAAAAAAAUUAAAAUGCCUCAACAUGAACCCCUGGUGGUCUCUGAGGGUGAAACCUGCUAACUGCUGCAGCUCUGUCAGCUUCAGUCUCCCAUGCAGAGCUCUGAGCGCAUGUGUGGCUCUGCACCCUUAGCAGCGUUGCUAACUCCUCAGUAAGGAAAGCCUGCUUCAUGUCAGAGUCUCUAAACUCCAGAAGAAGUCGAUAAAAGUCCCUUUCUUUCUAAAAAAAAGUCGUUAGGGGGUCUGAAAAGUAAUUGAAUCUAACAACAAAGUCGCUAGGUUUGCAACUACGUGUCCCAGACUGCAUCCCUGCUGAGAGUCCCUCCCUCGCUUCUCAUGUUGCAGGAAGAACGUAAGCACCCGCCCCUUGUCAAUCAGUCACCAUAUAAUUUUGGAUUGGUUGUUGUGGUGAAGUUUUCCACCAAUAGGAGAGAUGUUGUGGUGUGUUUUUUUUUUCUUUUGGCAAGCCUUUUCCGCCUGUAAGACCUGUCGCUAAUGUCUGCAUGCUAUGUUUUCCUGUCUCAUACAGCGCGAUCGAGCGCCGAACGUGAUCAAAAUAAGCAGAAAAAAAGUAUCGCGGACAUAAUUUAUCAUAACUCUGGUUUUAUUUGGCCUAUCAACACAAUUUAAAAACUGGUAUAUAGGUUGAGGUCCUCACUUUUGAGAUAAGUUGAAACGGAGAGUCAACGAGGCUCCGUCUUGCAGCUACAUCCGGUUAAAUAUGUCAUGUGACUUGAACGCACACACAGACACACACACACGCACACACACACACACACACACACACACUCAGAGUCUGGUUUUUAGCACCUGCAAAAACAUGCUAUUUACAUAUUUGACAAGAAUGCAGAGGCUCCUUUUGCCCCUGAAAAAAAUCUAAUUUCAAACACAACUUGACUGCUCAUUUCUCCAAAAGACAACCAUGAAGCUCCAUCCAAACCUGAAGCAGGCAGUUGGUGCAUGUGUACAGUAACCUGAGGGGAGUGAGGUGAGUGCUUCUGAGGAGAACAUGAGCAGUGAAGAUUCACCUUGGAGCUAGAACAGAGACAUGCACAUGAUUAUACAGGGGCAGGGGCUCAAGUUUUUUCCAGUCGUUUAUAUCAUAUGGAAAUUAAUGUGAAAUUAAAACACAAAGUAUUAAUAGAAAGGUAAUGACUGUCCUGUGUAGGUGACAGUGAUAUCCAAUAGGCUAGGCACUCACGAGGCUGGCUGUGGCAAGUGUAAGUGAAAGCAACACGCACUGGCAGGAAGAACAGCAAACGCCGAUGAAGGAAAAGGGUCUUUGCAGUGAUGGGCGUUACCAGAGAGGGCGAUGGCCAGAGGACACAAAUGGGACGGGGAGGCAGCACGUUGGGGGGGGGGGACGGGACACGGCUCGGGCCCGCCAGUGCCCCAACGGGGUCCUAGUUCUUCUUUUUCCUCCCCUUUGAACUGGAAAAUGGCCCACUUCCCACUGGCGAAAACUCAUGAAAUUUGGCAGGAUGACCGGGCCUGGUGAAAAAUUUGAUAUUCCGAAGUCGCCCAAACAAGAAAAUGCAAAAUGGCUCCAUAGCGCCCCCUAAGGUGAAAAUUCACACUAUUGACUGUCACGCCUUUACGCUUUGUCAUAUUGACACAAAAAUUGACACACACAUGUAUCUCAAUAAGAUCUACAAAAAGGUCAGUGCGGGCGUAUCUGUCAAAUGUACGGUUAUAGGGUUAUUCCGCAUUUUUUGCCGAUACGCACACAUUGGAAUUUCGCUAACUCCUCCGAAGGCUUUCGUUCCACCGGCACCACAUUUGCUCAGGCCAAUCUACACCCCAUGGCCAUUAAAAGUUAUUAAAAUCAUGACGCUGCACCCCACAGUUUAGGUUCUAGGGGGCGCCAAAGAUAACCCUAAAAUCCACAUAUUUAAAAGUCUUAUAACUUUUUAUUUUUGCCCUCACUGGCCUCCAAGUUUUCUAGGAUGAUGCAAUGUCCAGCCAUCAACACAUUUGUGAAGGAAUUUUUACUCCCCAAAAGAGCGCCCCCCCAUGGCAGGAGAAAAAAGUCAAUUUUUUCUUGUCCCCUAAGGUGAAAAUACACAUUGUUGAGUGUCACGCCUGUACGCUUUGUCAUAUUGACACAAAAUUUGACACACACAUGUAUCUCAAUAAGAUCUACGAAAAAGUCAAUGCGCGCGUAUCUGUCAAAUGUACGGUUAAAGGGUUAUUCCGCAUUUUUUGCUGAUCCGCACACAUUGGAAUUUCGCUAACUCCUCCUAAGGCUGGCG